AUUGAACGCUGGCGGCAGGCCUAACACAUGCAAGUCGAGCGGAUGAAGGGAGCUUGCUCCUGGAUUCAGCGGCGGACGGGUGAGUAAUGCCUAGGAAUCUGCCUGGUAGUGGGGGAUAACGUCCGGAAACGGGCGCUAAUACCGCAUACGUCCUGAGGGAGAAAGUGGGGGAUCUUCGGACCUCACGCUAUCAGAUGAGCCUAGGUCGGAUUAGCUAGUUGUUGGGGUAAAGGCCUACCAAGGCGACGAUCCGUAACUGGUCUGAGAGGAUGAUCAGUCACACUGGAACUGAGACACGGUCCAGACUCCUACGGGAGGCAGCAGUGGGGAAUAUUGGACAAAGGGCGAAAGCCUGAUCCAGCCAUGCCGCGUGUGUGAAGAAGGUCUUCGGAUUGUAAAGCACUUUAAGUUGGGAGGAAGGGCAGUAAGUUAAUACCUUGCUGUUUUGACGUUACCAACAGAAUAAGCACCGGCUAACUUCGUG
RNAcentral lists this ribosomal RNA (484 nucleotides) under uncultured bacterium. Its description in RNAcentral is "partial 16S ribosomal RNA". It matches the Rfam family "Bacterial small subunit ribosomal RNA", at positions 30 to 507 of the family's 1533-position model. The record is from RNAcentral.